GCGGGGUGGAGCAGCCCGGUAGCUCGUCAGGCUCAUAACCUGAAGGUCGCAGGUUCAAAUCCUGCCCCCGCAACCA
This 76-nucleotide transfer RNA is filed under the name Alphaproteobacteria bacterium MarineAlpha11_Bin1. RNAcentral describes it as "tRNA-Met". It matches the Rfam family "tRNA". From Rfam's summary of the family: Transfer RNA (tRNA) molecules are approximately 80 nucleotides in length. Their secondary structure includes four short double-helical elements and three loops (D, anti-codon, and T loops). Further hydrogen bonds mediate the characteristic L-shaped molecular structure. tRNAs have two regions of fundamental functional importance: the anti-codon, which is responsible for specific mRNA codon recognition, and the 3' end, to which the tRNAs corresponding amino acid is attached (by aminoacyl-tRNA synthetases). tRNAs cope with the degeneracy of the genetic code in two manners: having more than one tRNA (with a specific anti-codon) for a particular amino acid; and 'wobble' base-pairing, i.e. permitting non-standard base-pairing at the 3rd anti-codon position. The record is from RNAcentral. Lineage: Bacteria; Pseudomonadati; Pseudomonadota; Alphaproteobacteria.